Molecule: ribosomal RNA, 520 nt
Filed under: uncultured Glomus
Lineage: Eukaryota; Fungi; Glomeromycota; Glomeromycetes; Glomerales; Glomeraceae
Description: SSU rRNA
Rfam family: Eukaryotic small subunit ribosomal RNA
Source: RNAcentral
AGCAGCCGCGGUAAUUCCAGCUCCAAUAGCGUAUAUUAAAGUUGUUGCAGUUAAAAGCUCGUAGUUGAAUUUCGGGGUUAGUAGGUUGGUCAUGCCUCUGGUAUGUACUGGUCUCACUGAUUCCUCCUUCCUGAUGAACCGUAAUGCCAUUAAUUUGGUGUUGCGGGGGAUUUGGACUGUUACUUUGAAAAAAAUUAGAGUGUUUAAAGCAGGCUCGCGCUUGAAUACAUUAGCAUGGAAUAAUGAAAUAGGACGUUUGACCCUAUUUUGUUGGUUUCUAGGAUCGACGUAAUGAUUAAUAGGGAUAGUUGGGGGCAUUAGUAUUCAAUUGUCAGAGGUGAAAUUCUUGGAUUUAUUGAAGACUAACUACUGCGAAAGCAUUUUGCCAAGGAUGUUUUCAUUAAUCAAGAACGAAAGUUAGGGGAUCGAAGACGAUCAGAUACCGUCGUAGUCUUAACCAUAAACUAUGCCGACUAGGGAUCGGAUGAUGUUAUUUUUAAUGACUCAUUCGGCGCCUUAC